CCUACGGGAGGCAGCAGUGGGGAAUAUUGGACAAUGGGGGCAACCCUGAUCCAGCCAUGCUGCGUGUGUGAAGAAGGCCCUCGGGUUGUAAAGCACUUUCAGUGAGGAAGAACGCCUGGUGGUUAAUACCCAUCAGGAAAGACAUCACUCACAGAAGAAGCACCGGCUAACUCCGUGCCAGCAGCCGCGGUAAUACGGAGGGUGCGAGCGUUAAUCGGAAUUACUGGGCGUAAAGCGCGCGUAGGUGGCUUGAUAAGCCGGUUGUGAAAGCCCCGGGCUCAACCUGGGAACGGCAUCCGGAACUGUCAAGCUAGAGUGCAGGAGAGGAAGGUAGAAUUCCCGGUGUAGCGGUGAAAUGCGUAGAGAUCGGGAGGAAUACCAGUGGCGAAGGCGGCCUUCUGGACUGACACUGACACUGAGGUGCGAAAGCGUGGGUAGCAAACAGGAUUAGAUACCCGAGUAGUC
RNAcentral lists this ribosomal RNA (465 nucleotides) under Vreelandella stevensii. RNAcentral's name for it is "partial 16S ribosomal RNA". It matches the Rfam family "Bacterial small subunit ribosomal RNA", at positions 338 to 795 of the family's 1533-position model. The record is from RNAcentral. Lineage: Bacteria; Pseudomonadati; Pseudomonadota; Gammaproteobacteria; Oceanospirillales; Halomonadaceae.